UGUUCGAAGGAUUAAGAGGGCAGAGGAUAUCUCGCGUCCGACUGGAGAUGGUAUAAACUCAUUGUACAUGGGUAAAUUUUUUUGUUGAUUCUUGUUUUUCUGUAUAUUAUUAUUAUUUUUUGAUUGACUUGGUCUCAUGUUAUUUUUGUAUUUUUCAGAGGAUGUUUUUGCUGGGUUGCCUACCGCGGAGGAGUUGGCUAAAGGUGCCAGUGUUGCGGAGGAAGGACUUGCUGUUCCUCCGCGGCGCGAGCCUGCGCCUUCUGCGUUGGCCCGCAGACCUUCGCCUGCUGAUGUUCUUGGUCCUGGUGAGUUUCUUCUUCUUUGUUCAACUCUUUGGUUUGUUUUUUGUUAUUUUAUUCUAAGGUUGGUUUUGGUUUUGCGCAGGUGCUUCUGAUCCUUCGAUCACAGGUUGGACUGAUGCCUUGCGCGAGGUUCAUUCUUUGGUCGGAGGUUCGUACUCUGGCCUCCGCUAAUGGGUUUUUGGUUCUUACGAUUUUUCCUUACUUGUUUUCGAUUUACAGAUCGUUUCCGUCAGAAGCUUCGCAACAUGGACUUUGACACGCUACUUCGCGUGCAAUAUGAGCACCAUAGCCUUUUACGUUUGCGAUGUGUCAUAUUUUCCUUCGCCGUUUUUCGCUCGGAGGUUUGUUUUUACUUUUAUUUUUUGAGCAGGGUCAUCACAUGGCUGCCGCCUUGGAGGAGCGUUGCUCACGGGAGGUUAUUUGCCGGGACGAGGCUAUUGGUGCUCUGAAGAAGGAGAACGAGACCUUGGAGGUUGUGAAGGCUCGCCUGACGGAGGAGGUUAAGGAGUUAUCUUCCGUCCGGCGGGAAAUUUAGUCCCUGUGGAAGGAAAGAGAUGAUUACAAGGCUGGGUCGGAGGCCUUGAAGAAGGAGAAAGAAGAUGCCGAAGCUUCGGCGGCUGUCCUCCGUACGAAUGUCACUGAGGCGGGGAGAGCUAGAGACU
RNAcentral lists this long non-coding RNA (964 nucleotides) under Sorghum bicolor (sorghum). RNAcentral describes it as "long non-coding RNA (SBIC_LNC018810)". The record is from RNAcentral. Lineage: Eukaryota; Viridiplantae; Streptophyta; Magnoliopsida; Poales; Poaceae.